This 468-nucleotide ribosomal RNA is filed under the name uncultured bacterium. RNAcentral describes it as "bacterial SSU rRNA". It matches the Rfam family "Bacterial small subunit ribosomal RNA", at positions 917 to 1382 of the family's 1533-position model. The record is from RNAcentral.
GGGCCCGCACAAGCGGUGGAGCAUGUGGUUUAAUUCGACGCAACGCGAAGAACCUUACCAGGGCUUGACAUCCACAGAAUACUUAGGAAACUAGGUAGUGCCCUUCGGGGAGCUGUGAGACAGGUGGUGCAUGGUUGUCGUCAGCUCGUGUCGUGAGAUGUUGGGUUAAGUCCCGCAACGAGCGCAACCCCUAUCUUUAGUUGCUAACGAGUAGUGUCGAGCACUCUAGAGAGACUGCCGGUGACAAACCGGAGGAAGGUGGGGAUGACGUCAAAUCAUCAUGCCCCUUAUGUCCUGGGCUACACACGUGCUACAAUGGCCGGUACAGACGGUUGCGAAGCUGUGAAGUGGAGCUAAUCCGAGAAAGCCGGUCUCAGUUCGGAUUGUAGGCUGCAACUCGCCUACAUGAAGUCGGAAUCGCUAGUAAUCGCAGGUCAGCAUACUGCGGUGAAUACGUUCCCGGGCCUU